ACAGCGGGUUGAAAGUUUCAGGGGGUCAGUCCCCCCCAGGAGCAAAGGAGAGUCUCAUUCUCAGAAAUGAGACUGGAUGUGCAGAAGAUAUGCGACAGCACCUGUCCCAGAAGACAAGGACUUGUCUUUCAAAGGAGGAGGGAGGCAGAGGGUUCAGAUGGGUCAGUGAACUUUCAGUGGACAGCAUGCCUUGAGGCCCGUGGGAUGAUUGUGGGCUGCAGCGAGAGCCUGCCUGCCUCACUAGAUGUGCUCAGCCCAUACUUUCUCUCCCGGAGGGGUCCAGAGUCGGAUCUGAAGCGGAGUCCUGAGACCCCAGCCGGCGUCCUGAAGCUCCCCCUCCCCCGGUGGAAAUCGGCUCCAACCGAAGCAGGUCUGCAGAGAGAAGCAAUCAUGACAGGGAUCUCCAGGAAGUGUCUCCCUGAUGGACUGGGAAGCGAUCCUUGUGAAAGACAUCCAGCCAGACCAAGAAGCAUCUAGGUCGUGGAGAAACAGGGGAUACACAGCCAGAGCGAGGACGGAGCAGAGGCCAGAGCCCAGGCGAGAUCCAAGUCUUCUUUCCUUUUGGUCUUCUGCCCCACUCCAGGAGUCAGUCUCUGUUGCAAACCAAAUUUCCACUCACUUCACACACACAUGCAGUGGGAAAUGGAAACAGCAGAGAGCAUCUUGGAGGAGAACUUGAGCUUACAUCCUUCGGUAGAUGCUGCCAACCUCCAGCCAGUCCUCUCUAAUAAGGCCCAAGAGCCAGCAAGAUAACAGCCUUUCUCAGAAGAACCAACAUACAGCUGCUCAGGAAUGCACACAAUCUCAAAGACCCGUGGGCUGCCUUGCCUUUUCUUCGCGAGUGGAAUUGUAGAGUUUGGGGACCAUGAUGCAGAAGUGAGAAACUGGUCAGGUCCAAAGAUGUCAGAACUCAGGGGUUUCAUGUUGUACACAGACAAGGAAGAGAAAAGAGGGAGUAUGUCAGUCAUAUCGCCUGGACCAGAUGGUUCUGGGUUUGGGAAUCCUCAUUUCUUGCAUCUUACAGUUACAUAAAUCUAUUACUUCUGUGCUUCUGGCUUUUUCUUUACUGUAUCAACAGGCUACUGCAGGGGUCAUAGCCUGGACAUGGCCAACCAGAAAGAUACUCAAGGAAUGCUCAAUGGGAAGAAAGCAGGUACACUUGAUCCCUGCAUAGAGCCGCAGAAACAAAUGUCAUUUGUGAAUUUAACUGCUAGAGGCUAAUGGAAAUACAAUGCAAACAACCUAAAGAAUUUCCAGCUCAAUGAAUGAUUCUUUUUUAUCUGUAAUCUUUAUUUGUAAAAGAGAAACCUAUUGUUUUUCCCUUAAGUUGUGAUGCCAGCAUAAUGUGAUCUCAUGCA
Molecule: long non-coding RNA, 1358 nt
Organism: Rhinopithecus roxellana (golden snub-nosed monkey)
Lineage: Eukaryota; Metazoa; Chordata; Mammalia; Primates; Cercopithecidae
Exons: 3
Source: RefSeq, a predicted model, not a curated record